RNAcentral lists this ribosomal RNA (258 nucleotides) under uncultured bacterium. RNAcentral's name for it is "partial 16S ribosomal RNA". It matches the Rfam family "Bacterial small subunit ribosomal RNA", at positions 793 to 1055 of the family's 1533-position model. The record is from RNAcentral.
GUCCACGCCCUAAACGAUGAUCACUCGAUGUGUGCGAUACACUGUACGCGUCUGAGCGAAAGCAUUAAGUGAUCCACCUGGGGAGUACUACCGCAAGGUUGAAACUCAAAGGAAUUGACGGGGGCCCGCACAAGCGGAGGAGCAUGUGGUUUAAUUCGAUGAUACGCGAGGAACCUUACCAGGGCUUGAAAGUUAGUGAAGUAUGUGGAAACAUGUACGUCAGCAAUGACACGAAACUAGGUGCUGCAUGGCUGUCGU